AUGCGUGGACAACAUUAAUGCAAGUGACACAAGAUCAUCCACACCUGGUUAUGGUAGUGAAGAGGACACAGUUCCAGAAAGUAGCAAUAUUCAUCUACCAGAAACUAUACGGG
Haliotis rubra (blacklip abalone) is the source of this 113-nucleotide long non-coding RNA. RefSeq lists it as uncharacterized. The record is from RefSeq and is a predicted model, not a curated record. The transcript has 3 exons. Lineage: Eukaryota; Metazoa; Mollusca; Gastropoda; Lepetellida; Haliotidae.